RNAcentral lists this ribosomal RNA (468 nucleotides) under uncultured bacterium. RNAcentral describes it as "partial 16S ribosomal RNA". It matches the Rfam family "Bacterial small subunit ribosomal RNA", at positions 28 to 507 of the family's 1533-position model. The record is from RNAcentral.
GACGAACGCUGGCGGCGUGCUUAACACAUGCAAGUCGAACGGAAAGGCCCUGCUUUUGUGGGGUGCUCGAGUGGCGAACGGGUGAGUAACACGUGAGUAACCUGCCCUUGACUUUGGGAUAACUUCAGGAAACUGGGGCUAAUACCGGAUAGGAGCUCCUGCUGCAUGGUGGGGGUUGGAAAGUUUCGGCGGUUGGGGAUGGACUCGCGGCUUAUCAGCUUGUUGGUGGGGUAGUGGCUUACCAAGGCUUUGACGGGUAGCCGGCCUGAGAGGGUGACCGGCCACAUUGGGACUGAGAUACGACCCAGACUCCUACGGGAGGCAGCAGUGGGGAAUAUUGCACAAUGGGCGGAAGCCUGAUGCAGCAACGCCGCGUGCGGGAUGACGGCCUUCGGGUUGUAAACCGCUUUCGCCUGUGACGAAGCGUGAGUGACGGUAAUGGGUAAAGAAGCACCGGCUAACUACGUG